RNAcentral lists this ribosomal RNA (395 nucleotides) under Protaspa sp. Its description in RNAcentral is "partial small subunit ribosomal RNA". It matches the Rfam family "Eukaryotic small subunit ribosomal RNA", at positions 582 to 975 of the family's 1831-position model. The record is from RNAcentral. Lineage: Eukaryota; Cercozoa; Thecofilosea; Cryomonadida; Protaspidae.
AUUCCAGCUCCAAGAGCGUAUAUUAAAGUUGUUGCAGUUAAAAAGCUCGUAGUUGGAUUUCUGGUAUAAUGCGCCUGGCCCGCUCCGUUUCGGAGUGAGUGCCGGUGCGCGUUUGCCAUCCUUCUAGAAAAUGUUUCUACCCUUCGCUGGGCCGGAUUCACGAUCUAGAUCUUUUACUUUGAAAAAAUUAGAGUGUUUAAAGCAGGCUUUUGCUAUGAAUACAUUAGCAUGGAAUAAUAAUCUAGGACUUCGGUUCUAUUUUGUUGGUUUCUAGUACUGAAGUAAUGAUUGAUAGGGAUAGUUGGGGGUGCUAGUAUUGGGCGGCCAGAGGUGAAAUUCUUGGAUUCGCUCAAGACUAACUUAUGCGAAAGCAUUCACCAAGGAUGUCUUCAUUA